GGGUUCUUAGUUUAAUGGUAAAAUAUCGGUCUCCAAAACCGUAUGAUCUGAGUUCGAGUCUUAGAGGGCCUGCCA
This 75-nucleotide transfer RNA is filed under the name Caudoviricetes sp. RNAcentral's name for it is "tRNA-Trp". It matches the Rfam family "tRNA". Rfam says of the family: Transfer RNA (tRNA) molecules are approximately 80 nucleotides in length. Their secondary structure includes four short double-helical elements and three loops (D, anti-codon, and T loops). The record is from RNAcentral. Lineage: Duplodnaviria; Heunggongvirae; Uroviricota; Caudoviricetes.